RNAcentral lists this ribosomal RNA (522 nucleotides) under uncultured bacterium. Its description in RNAcentral is "bacterial SSU rRNA". It matches the Rfam family "Bacterial small subunit ribosomal RNA", at positions 8 to 518 of the family's 1533-position model. The record is from RNAcentral.
AGGGUUCGAUUCUGGCUCAGGAUGAACGCUAGCUACAGGCUUAACACAUGCAAGUCGAGGGCAUCAUGGAGUUUGCUUGCAAACUCUGAUGGCGACCGGCGCGACGGGUGAGUAACGCGUAUCCAACCUUCCUAUAGUAGAGGAUAGCCCGGCGAAAGUCGGAUUUAAUACUCUAUGUUUUUCCGUUGCAGACAUCUAAGAUGGAACAAAGGCUUGCCGCUAUAGGAUGGGGGAUGCGUCUGAUUAGGUAGUCGGCGGGGUAACGGCCCACCGAGCCAUCGAUCAGUAGGGGUUCUGAGAGGAAGGUCCCCCACAUUGGAACUGAGACACGGUCCAAACUCCUACGGGAGGCAGCAGUGAGGAAUAUUGGUCAAUGGGCGAGAGCCUGAACCAGCCAAGUAGCGUGCAGGACGACGGCCCUAUGGGUUGUAAACUGCUUUUAUGCGGGAUAAAGUUCACUACGUGUAGUGUUUUGUAGGUACCGCAUGAAUAAGGACCGGCUAAUUCCGUGCCAGCAGCUGC